RNAcentral lists this non-coding RNA (117 nucleotides) under Compsopogon caeruleus. Lineage: Eukaryota; Rhodophyta; Compsopogonophyceae; Compsopogonales; Compsopogonaceae. The record is from RNAcentral.
UGGUUGUUUAUUUUUUUUUUCGUUCAUUUUAUUCCUGAUUCGGCGUUUUGAGACCAAUUGAAGAUGGUGGGCAUGUAACGUUGAAGAGGAAUUUUAGGACAGAGAAGUCAGUGGUCU